GAAGAGAAACGGAAGGUUAAAGGUCAGACUGACAGCGUUCACUGAUGACUUUCACGAGUUUCGUUCACAAGGUGACGUCACACCUCACAGGAAGAGCGACCUUCCCAUAAAAACUGUAGUUCCUCUAACGUCCACCAGAGGCUCCGAACCCGAUCCCACACACAGUAGCAAACACGCAUGUGUCAUGUGACCUGCUUGUUUGUGGAGACCUGCUGCAUCGUUUCAUUAAACUCAAUGCCUCCAUACAACAACAGCCACAACAUGUCCAUGUUUGCUGGGUCAAAGAUGAAGACGAGCAGAAAUGUGAAAACACAGAUGUGACCGAAGCAGGCCGCCUACAUUCCUGCCUUUGACUGUGAGCUGUGGCUGAUAAUCAUGACAGGCUGCGGUCUGCAGGAUGGAGUGCAGCUCUGCAUCUGGCUCACGGAAAUGAAUCUGUGCCCCGCUGCUGCUAAACCGUCCGCUUGUCCUUCCCCGCUCAGGCCGACGGGCUCCUAAAUAAGUGAUCGUGGAAUAAAUGGUUUGUGCCGAGCGGGCGGGAUGGAUGCACCGCCGGCCUUUCAUAGCUCAGCGCACUCACAGACACACAAAGGAGCCACAUUUGAAACAUUAGCCUACAUUUUCCUCCAAUUUGGGAUUUAAUUAGAGACGACAGGACGGCGGAGUAGAAAGAGCCGGAGCGUCUGAACCAGCUGAAAAAGAUGCAAACAGCAAGCUGCAGUGAGUCCGGCAUCAUCUGUGACAGCGGUGCGAAGACGUUCCAGAGGGAAACCUGUACAUCCACACCUGUCACACACAGACCCUCCCACAGCCCAUGUUUAUGCUCCACCCUGACGACGAGCUGGAUGGAGACGCGCACGCUCACACAAACACUGCGAGUGUGUUGUCCUUUCUACAUUUACACAAUUAUCUGUCAGCUGUUAGCAGCACCGCAUUGAUUUUGGUGUCAUUAGCAGGCUCCACACCGAGGAGAGGACGAGGAGGACGAGCGGGGGAGGAGGAGGAGAACCAGAGAGACGCCAGGAAAGGGGAGGAAAAGGGAGACCGGUUCAGGGAGGUAGAUGAUGGAGGGAGAGGCAGCGGUGGAGGGGGGUGGGGGGCUCCAGUGGGUCAUUUCCUGUCGUUUUUCAUUUGAGGCUUUGCUUCGCAGCGACAGCGAGAGGCUGUCCUCCCCCCCAAGGAGCAGACCUGAGCGAGAGUGGUAACAGAUGCUAAUUCCUUCACUCCUCCUCAGCUACCUGUCCCAGGGGAGGAGGAGGGAGACAGAAGGAAAAGAGGAAGAGGAGGAGGAGGUGUUGGUGGGCCGUGACUCCCCUGCGUGGGAUUACACUGGAUUAUCCCGCUAAGACGCUGCAUGAGCUGCACACUAGUUCUCAGAGCCUGACGCCCGGCGACGCCCUGCCCCGCCUGGCAUCGUCAUAGCAACC
Long non-coding RNA from Oreochromis niloticus (Nile tilapia), 1427 nucleotides. RefSeq lists it as uncharacterized. The transcript has 3 exons. Lineage: Eukaryota; Metazoa; Chordata; Actinopteri; Cichliformes; Cichlidae. The record is from RefSeq and is a predicted model, not a curated record.